Cucumis sativus (cucumber) is the source of this 1138-nucleotide long non-coding RNA. RefSeq lists it as uncharacterized. The record is from RefSeq and is a predicted model, not a curated record. The transcript is spliced from 2 exons. NCBI's taxonomy places the organism in Eukaryota, Viridiplantae, Streptophyta, Magnoliopsida, Cucurbitales, Cucurbitaceae.
UUCUGACUUUCAUUGGACAAGUAUGUAUUCAAGAUUUAUUAAAAUAUAUUUAUUAUAUUUUAGCUUUAAGAAAGUAGUUUACACUUUAUCUAUAUAAGGGUAUUUUGGGUUUUUGUAAAUUCUUAUUUAUUGUUUUUUUUCUUCAUUUGGUCAUUUUUUAACUUUAAAAUUGCUAUUAUUCUAGUUGAGCCAAUUUCUUUCCUCUCGUUUCUUUUCCCUCUCUCAAAUACCAUUAAAAGUAUGUUUUUGUAAAUUUUUUAAAUAUCAACGCCAAGCACCCGGUGAAUGUGCUACAAAAGCUCAACUUCAUUUCACAAAACCCUUCCGCCAUUCACACUCUCAAUCUUUCUUCCCUCCAAUUUCUCACAAAAUCCUCUCUCGUCGGACUUCCAUCGACACAGAAAGUAAUCGAAGCAACUCUCCAAAUUCUGAAGCCCAAGCCAUUUGUCGGAGCUAAUGUGUUCCUCUCUCGUAAUCUUGUCGCACCGGAGAUGUUCGAUGCUUUUCACGACACUUUCAAGCAGAAUGGGGCUGAGGUUUUCCUCUGUUGCGAUCCCUCUCAAAACGCCCCUAACGAUUAUCAUGUUAUCUCCUCUGCCAAUCACGUACGAAACGUCUCAUCGAUUUCUUGUUCAAUUUAUAUGGCUACUUCGGAUUUGCAAUGUGUUUAUUAGUUGUUGAUUCCUGCUUUCAGGCAAAGUUCGAGGAUCUUCGCGCCAAGGGAUGCAACUUGUUAGGUCCUCAGUGCGUGAUGUCAUGUGCAAAAAGAGCACAGACCUCUUCCUCAACAGGGUUAUACUUGCUGCCUUGCCAUGGAUGGUGUGAAAAUCUUGGCAUCCGAUUUUCAGGAAGAUGAAAAGGUACGUUGCAAAUGUUCUUAUUAGUAAUUAGUAAUUUUAUUUUUGUAGAACUAAUGACACAAAGUUGCAUUGCAGGUUGAGAUAGGGAAGUUAGUUAGUGCAAUGGGGGGAGUAUUGCAUACGAAAGCAUCACUAGAUGUCAGUUUUGUUAUCGCGAAGAAUACUUUGGCUGCGAAAUACAAGGUCGUGUUGCUUGAACUUUCGAUUUUCUUGACGUGAUAUGUAUGUGUAUUUAGACCAUUUCAUGAAUAUCACGUGAAUCAUAAGAUUUGAGUCAA